AUUGAACGCUGGCGGCAUGCCUUACACAUGCAAGUCGAACGGCAGCACGGGGCAACCUGGUGGCGAGUGGCGAACGGGUGAGUAAUGCAUCGGAACGUGCCAUUGAGUGGGGGAUAACGUAGCGAAAGUUGCGCUAAUACCGCAUAUUCUGUGAGCAGGAAAGCAGGGGACCGCAAGGCCUUGCGCUCUUUGAGCGGCCGAUGUCAGAUUAGCUAGUUGGUGAGGUAACGGCUUACCAAGGCGACGAUCUGUAGCGGGUCUGAGAGGAUGAUCCGCCACACUGGAACUGAGACACGGUCCAGACUCCUACGGGAGGCAGCAGUGGGGAAUUUUGGACAAUGGGCGCAAGCCUGAUCCAGCCAUGCCGCGUGAGUGAAGAAGGCCUCG
This 387-nucleotide ribosomal RNA is filed under the name uncultured bacterium. Its description in RNAcentral is "bacterial SSU rRNA". It matches the Rfam family "Bacterial small subunit ribosomal RNA", at positions 30 to 419 of the family's 1533-position model. The record is from RNAcentral.